Molecule: small nuclear RNA, 104 nt
Organism: Mustela erminea (ermine)
Lineage: Eukaryota; Metazoa; Chordata; Mammalia; Carnivora; Mustelidae
Source: RefSeq, a predicted model, not a curated record
GUGCUCGCUUUGGCAGCACAUAUACUAAAAUUGGAACGUUACAGAGAUUAGCAUGGCUCCUGCGCAAGGAUGACAUGCAAAUUCGUGAAGCGUUCCAUCGUUUA